CCUGAUGGCGAGCAAAAUGACACCACCACAUUGUGAAAGGCCUUGGAUUGAUACCGACUCCAAGCUAUACGGACUCAAUUUAUGGAUGAAGCCAGGAUUCAAUACUCCCAACUAGCACCCCCCCACUAGCUGCAUGAUAGGGGUGCCAUGUGAGUGACCUUGAAGAUCGUUCCUCCAGACGGUCAGACUUCCAAUUAUCCGACCCA
This 206-nucleotide long non-coding RNA is filed under the name Elaeis guineensis (African oil palm). RNAcentral describes it as "long non-coding RNA (EGUI_LNC023161)". The record is from RNAcentral. Lineage: Eukaryota; Viridiplantae; Streptophyta; Magnoliopsida; Arecales; Arecaceae.